Molecule: ribosomal RNA, 381 nt
Filed under: uncultured archaeon
Lineage: Archaea
Description: bacterial SSU rRNA
Rfam family: Archaeal small subunit ribosomal RNA
Source: RNAcentral
ACACCGGCAGCCCAAGUGGUGGCCAUUUUUAUUGGGCCUAAAGCGUUCGUAGCCGGCCUGAUAAGUCUCUGGUGAAAUCCCGCAGCUUAACUGUGGGAAUUGCAGGAGAUACUAUCAGGCUUGAUGUCGGGAGAGGUUAGAGGUACUACCAGGGUAGGGGUGAAAUCCUAUAAUCCUGGGAGGACCACCUGUGGCGAAGGCGUCUAACUGGAACGAACCUGACGGUGAGUAACGAAAGCCAGGGGCGCGAACCGGAUUAGAUACACGGGUAGUCCUGGCCGUAAACGAUGUGGCCUUGGUGUUGGGAUGGCCUCGAGCUGCCCCAGUGCCAAAGGGAAGCUGUUAAGUCCACCGCCUGGGAAGUACGGUCGCAAGACUGAA